CAAUUUUUGUUUAACAAUCAAGAUUUGAUCAGCAUUUAUUUUGAUUUUUUUCUAAUUGUGAAUUUAUUAAUUGCUGUAAAUCUUAUUGAUUGUUAAUUAGAUUUUCUACUGUCAUGGCUGCUGCUGUUGCUUCAUCAACGAAUCCUGUGUCGGUUCCUGACCAAAGAGAGAGGAUUAUUGCUGAGUAUAGGAAGAAAGUGCAAGAACACCAAGAUUAUGAAGCGAGGCUUAAACAAGUUAGGGAAGAGUUAAAAGAGAGCAACAAGCAAUUCCAAAAAAGUGAAGCUGAUUUGAAAGCCCUUCAAAGUGUUGGACAAAUUGUCGGUGAAGUCUUGAAGCAGCUGACUGAUGAUAAUUUCAUUGUCAAAGCUACUAAUGGACCUCGGUAUGUUGUUGGUUGUCGUCGACAGCUUGAUAAAAGUAAACUUAAAUCUGGUACUAGAGUUGCUCUUGAUAUGACUACUUUGACAAUCAUGAGAUAUCUUCCUCGGGAAGUUGAUCCUUUGGUUUACAAUAUGUCACAUGAAAGUCCAGGUGAUGUUAAUUACUCAAGUAUUGGUGGUUUGGGUGAACAGAUUAGAGAAUUGAGAGAAGUCAUUGAAUUGCCUCUUUUAAAUCCUGAACUUUUUGAAAGAGUUGGUAUAACACCACCUAAAGGUUGCCUUCUUUAUGGACCUCCUGGUACUGGUAAAACUCUUUUGGCUCGAGCUGUAGCUUCACAAAUUGAGGCCAAUUUCCUCAAAGUUGUAUCUUCUGCAAUUGUUGAUAAAUAUAUUGGAGAAAGUGCUAGGUUGAUUCGAGAAAUGUUCAACUAUUCUCGGGAUCAUCAACCUUGCGUUAUUUUCAUGGAUGAAAUUGAUGCCAUUGGUGGUAGAAGAUUCAGUGAAGGUACUUCAGCUGAUCGAGAAAUUCAAAGAACAUUGAUGGAAUUAUUGAAUCAAAUGGAUGGUUUCGAUGCCUUAGGCCAAGUUAAAAUCAUUAUGGCCACAAAUCGACCUGAUACCUUGGAUCCAGCUUUACUUCGUCCCGGAAGAUUGGAUCGUAAAAUUGAAAUACCUCUUCCAAAUGAACAAGGUCGAUUAGAGAUUAUGAAAAUUCAUGCUCGUCCAAUAGCCAAACAUGGUGAUAUUGAUUGGGAAGCUAUAGUUAAAUUGUCCGAUGGAUUCAAUGGUGCUGAUCUGAGAAAUAUUUGUACUGAAGCAGGUCUUUUCGCUAUUCGAGCUGAAAGAGAAUACGUAAUUGAAGAAGACUUUAUGAAAGCCGUUCGUAAAAUAUCCGAUAAUAAGAAACUCGAAACAAAAUUGGACUAUAAGCCGGUCUAAAGAUAUUAACACUUUUUUUAUGUACCAACCAAGGAUAUAAUACUAAAACAAUAUGAAAAUAAAAAUUUUUGCUGACCUCUGGUCAAACAAAAGGUCAACACAAGAAGAAGAAGAAGAAGAAGAAGAAGAGAUAAAAUGUGAUGAGGAAAAGUCGUUUUUGUUUCUCGGUUUGUCCAGGAUCGAGCAAAAAAUAUAAUAAUAAUAAAAAGAAAAAGAAAAAGGAAAAGUUUUUGAGUCUGUAAAAAAUAACCAGACAAAUGUUUGUGUUUACUUAGCGAUCGCUGGACAGUGUCCACUGGACACUUUUCAGAUAAACUUUGUCAUAUCUACAUUAUUAUGAUUAACAAUAUUGAUUAUCAACAUAAUCAUGUCAAUUA
Panonychus citri (citrus red mite) is the source of this 1699-nucleotide RNA transcript. It is a transcript of the gene named 26S proteasome regulatory subunit 10B-like, with no coding region annotated. Lineage: Eukaryota; Metazoa; Arthropoda; Arachnida; Trombidiformes; Tetranychidae. The transcript has 4 exons. The record is from RefSeq and is a predicted model, not a curated record.